RNAcentral lists this ribosomal RNA (440 nucleotides) under uncultured bacterium. Its description in RNAcentral is "partial 16S ribosomal RNA". It matches the Rfam family "Bacterial small subunit ribosomal RNA", at positions 339 to 795 of the family's 1533-position model. The record is from RNAcentral.
CUACGGGAUGCAGCAGUGAGGAAUAUUGCACAAUGGGGGGAACCCUGAUGCAGCAACGCCGCGUGGAGGAUGACGCAUUUCGGUGUGUAAACUCCUUUUAUAUGUCAAGAAAAUGACGGUAGCAUAUGAAUAAGCACCGGCUAACUCCGUGCCAGCGAGCCGCGGUAAUACGGGGGGUGCAAGCGUUACUCGGAAUCACUGGGCGUAAAGGACGCGUAGGCGGGUUGGAAAGUCAGGUGUGAAAUCCUACAGCUUAACUGUAGAACUGCACUUGAAACUUCUAAUCUAGAGUAUGGGAGGGGGAGAUGGAAUUAGUGGUGUAGGGGUAAAAUCCGUAGAUAUCACUAGGAAUACCUAAAGCGAAGGCGAUCUCCUGGAACAUUACUGACGCUAAGGCGUGAAAGCGUGGGGAGCAAACAGGAUUAGAUACCCGCGUAGUC